GAUGAACGCUGGCGGCGUGCUUAACACAUGCAAGUCGAACGAAGCUGUUAAGAGGAAGUCUUCGGAUGGAAUUUUAACAGACUUAGUGGCGGACGGGUGAGUAACGCGUGGAUAACCUGCCUUAUACAGGGGGAUAACGGAGAGAAAUUUCCGCUAAGACCGCAUAAGACCACAGCACCGCAUGGUGCAGGGGUAAAAUAUUAAUAGGUAUAAGAUGGAUCCGCGUCCGAUUAGCUGGUUGGUGAGGUAGAGGCUCACCAAGGCGACGAUCGGUAGCCGGCCUGAGAGGGUGAACGGCCACAUUGGGACUGAGACACGGCCCAAACUCCUACGGGAGGCAGCAGUGGGGAAUAUUGGACAAUGGGGGAAACCCUGAUCCAGCGACGCCGCGUGAGUGAAGAAGUAUUUCGGUAUGUAAAGCUCUAUCAGCAGGGAAGAAAAUGACG
This 446-nucleotide ribosomal RNA is filed under the name Lachnoanaerobaculum saburreum. RNAcentral describes it as "bacterial SSU rRNA". It matches the Rfam family "Bacterial small subunit ribosomal RNA", at positions 28 to 456 of the family's 1533-position model. Lineage: Bacteria; Bacillati; Bacillota; Clostridia; Lachnospirales; Lachnospiraceae. The record is from RNAcentral.